GGAUGCGAGAGCAUUGUGGCUGUGACAUUUGUCACCCUAUUGACCACCAAGGUUGAUUCGGCCGAUCUGCUUGGUUAGUUGGAUGUUCUCUCCCUCCUUCACCACUUCUUGUAUGUCUCGCCUGCAGCUGCAUGUUGUGGUUGGUUGAAGAAGAGAGCUGUGUUCUCUGUCAAGGGUAUGGGGAGUCUCUGUGCUCCCCUGAUAGAACUUCUACAAACAAAAAAGAUACAAAUUAAAUAAUUUUAGAUGUAGUAUGAUUUACCUUGUAGAUAGGCUUUUUAUUUAACAAG
This is an unclassified non-coding RNA of Cavia aperea (Brazilian guinea pig), 290 nucleotides long. Its record names the gene 7SK. It matches the Rfam family "7SK RNA". From Rfam's summary of the family: 7SK was discovered as an abundant small nuclear RNA in the mid-70s but a possible function has only recently been suggested. Two independent studies have found that 7SK RNA binds the CDK9/cyclin T complex (known as elongation factor P-TEFb). The record is from Ensembl. NCBI's taxonomy places the organism in Eukaryota, Metazoa, Chordata, Mammalia, Rodentia, Caviidae.